Molecule: long non-coding RNA, 533 nt
Organism: Hippocampus zosterae (dwarf seahorse)
Lineage: Eukaryota; Metazoa; Chordata; Actinopteri; Syngnathiformes; Syngnathidae
Exons: 3
Source: RefSeq, a predicted model, not a curated record
ACACUAGCCUGCCAAUUGUCGAGAGGCACGGAGCCGCCAGCAACGAGCCCAGCAAGCCCCCGAUGCAAAAAAUGGAGACGGUGAAGGACCAGAUGAGUGACACCUGCCAGUCUCGGAGCUCGCCGUCGUCGCUAAGACCCAAACGUGUUUUUGGACUUACAGCGGAAGGGGACGUCAUGGAAGAUAUUCCGAAUCCGUACUGAAACGUCCCGCCGAUCCCCGAUAUGAAAAUGACGACGAUCACGAGAGGACAGUCCCACUGGAAAGAAAAAACGGAGGGAUGAAGUGCUUCCAGGUAGUCGCCUUUAUAAAAGACGACCCCGAUCGCUUCCGUUCAAGUCUGCAGAUGCCCCAAACCGGAAAAGUAUGAGCGCGAUAAGUACACAAAGGAGCACCUUUUUUACUUUUUUAAUUUUUUUUUAUUAAGCGGCUGCAGGUGUUAACCAUAAUGACAUUGUGACGCACUUCACUAAGUCGCAAGCGACACUUUCACACUCUCUCGGCCAAACGUUAAACGUCUCAUUAAAAACACA